AUGUCUUCUAAUGAAGGAGAUGCACAGAAGGGGCCCGGAGCAUUUGGUCAAUCGCUGUCUUUGUUGCUCUCUUCCUAGCACCUUCUAAAGAGCUCAGAUGAAAAGCCAGACAACAGUUCAGGAGCUGUCAUCCAGGCUUGGUGUACUCCAGAGGUCUGUGUCCCACAGAGAACCUUCUGCCACCACUCCCCAUGGCUGAGGACUGGUGUCCUUACUGGUGCGUGUGCUUCAAGAUGUCUUUGAUUUGCAGUGGACAACAGAUAUAACCCGUGGAUCUUCUACAUCUGCAGAGUGACUUCUCCCAGCUCCCCCCUUCUCGCCCUUACGUUCUACCUGAGGCCUCAGAGAAGGUCAGAAGCACUCAGUACAUUAUAUGUGUUUUCAGUUAGGAACUUAAAUCAGGUUGGAGCUCAGUACGGGGUGGGGCAGAGCAUGGUUUGCUCCCAGCACAGUCCGAGUGACAGUGCAAUUGGUGAGGGCUCUGCGUGUCACCUCUUAUUGUCAUACGUACCACAUUGAUGGCUCUGUGACACUCAGCAGUGACAGCCUGCAGUCUGUCUGGAGGAUAUUCCUCAUUUCACUUCCCAAACUCCAAUAUUCCCUAUCAACUUGAUGUCUCCUCUCUAUUUUUGUUACUAAACCGGAUUUAUAUUAAAGAUAGAAGCUUGUUGAAUUGAGUGAGCAUGCAUUAUUUAAUUAAAGGGAUGAUGAAAAUGUGUGUCUGAAAUUUCCUGUAAACAUUGAUUUCUGGGAGGUUGUCCAUAUUUUGUUUGGCAAAUUGACACCUGUGUAGUACUUCCUUGGAGGAAGCCGGUUUGUGUUGAAAGCACUUGCUUAUUUAAGGCUGCUUAGAACACGCUCUGAAGCCAGGCUGCAUCAGGCUGCUUGAACUGAUUUCAGCUUUCAUUAAGCAAAUGAACACACCCCUGUCUCUUUACAUCACGGG
Molecule: long non-coding RNA, 946 nt
Organism: Oxyura jamaicensis (ruddy duck)
Lineage: Eukaryota; Metazoa; Chordata; Aves; Anseriformes; Anatidae
Exons: 3
Source: RefSeq, a predicted model, not a curated record